Molecule: ribosomal RNA, 253 nt
Filed under: uncultured bacterium
Lineage: Bacteria
Description: partial 16S ribosomal RNA
Rfam family: Bacterial small subunit ribosomal RNA
Source: RNAcentral
GACGUAGGGCGCGAGCGUUGUCCGGAUUUAUUGGGCGUAAAGAGCUCGUAGGCGGCUUGUCGCGUCGACUGUGAAAACCCGCGGCUCAACUGCGGGCUUGCAGUCGAUACGGGCAAACUAGAGUAUUGCAGGGGAGACUGGAAUUCCUGGUGUAGCGGUGAAAUGCGCAGAUAUCAGGAGGAACACCGGUGGCGAAGGCGGGUCUCUGGGCAAUAACUGACGCUGAGGAGCGAAAGCGUGGGGAGCGAACAGG